Molecule: ribosomal RNA, 460 nt
Filed under: uncultured bacterium
Lineage: Bacteria
Description: partial 16S ribosomal RNA
Rfam family: Bacterial small subunit ribosomal RNA
Source: RNAcentral
GACGAACGCUGGCGGCGUGCUUAACACAUGCAAGUCGAGCGGUAAGGCCACUUCGGGGGUCCACGAGCGGCGAACGGGGGAGUAACACGAGGGUGACCUGCCCCCAGCUCUGGGAUAAGCAUGGGAAACUGGGACCAAUACCGGUAACGACCAUUCUUCGCAUGGGGAUGGGUGGAAAGUGUUUUCGGCUGGGGAUGGGACCGCGGGCUCUCAGCGUGGUGGUGGGGCGAUGGCCUACGAAGGCGGCGACGGGAAGCCGGCCUGCGGGGGCGACCGGCCACCCUGUGACUGAGGCACGGCCCGGGCUCCUACGGGAGGCGGCGGUGGGGUAUCGUGCGCAAGGGGCGUGAGCCAGGCGCGGCGACGCCGCGUGGGGGUUGGCUGCCUCCGGGGUGCAAACCUCUUUCGACCCCGACGAAUUUGGACGGUAGGGGAAGAAGAAGCACCGGCUAACUACGUG